UCGAGCGGUAGANAGAAGCUUGCUUCUCUUGAGAGCGGCGGACGGGUGAGUAAUGCCUAGGAAUCUGCCUGGUAGUGGGGGAUAACGUCCGGAAACGGACGCUAAUACCGCAUACGUCCUACGGGAGAAAGCAGGGGACCUUCGGGCCUUGCGCUAUCAGAUGAGCCUAGGUCGGAUUAGCUAGUUGGUGAGGUAAUGGCUCACCAAGGCGACGAUCCGUAACUGGUCUGAGAGGAUGAUCAGUCACACUGGAACUGAGACACGGUCCAGACUCCUACGGGAGGCAGCAGUGGGGAAUAUUGGACAAUGGGCGAAAGCCUGAUCCAGCCAUGCCGCGUGUGUGAAGAAGGUCUUCGGAUUGUAAAGCACUUUAAGUUGGGAGGAAGGGUACUUACCUAAUACGUGAGUAUUUUGACGUUACCGACAGAAUAAGCACCGGCUAACUCUGUGCCAGCAGCCGCGGUAAUACAGAGGGUGCAAGCGUUAAUCGGAAUUACUGGGCGUAAAGCGCGCGUAGGUGGUUCGUUAAGUUGGAUGUGAAAUCCCCGGGCUCAACCUGGGAACUGCAUCCAAAACUGGCGAGCUAGAGUAUGGUAGAGGGUGGUGGAAUUUCCUGUGUAGCGGUGAAAUGCGUAGAA
RNAcentral lists this ribosomal RNA (638 nucleotides) under Pseudomonas sp. ZK-21. RNAcentral's name for it is "bacterial SSU rRNA". It matches the Rfam family "Bacterial small subunit ribosomal RNA", at positions 62 to 695 of the family's 1533-position model. The record is from RNAcentral. Lineage: Bacteria; Pseudomonadati; Pseudomonadota; Gammaproteobacteria; Pseudomonadales; Pseudomonadaceae.